AUGGCUUAUAAAAUUUGAGAAAAAAAUGGAUAGUGAUUAGUAACAGUAAAAACAUUAAUAGGCAAACUUUUAUUUAUAGAAAAGGAAUAGCACUUGUUUCCAUAUUUCAAACAUAUUGUUGCAUAACCAAAUUGAGAGUUAGCAGUUUGUUAAAGCACCAAAAUAAUGUAACUCUUUAGGUCUGUGUUUACCAAGCCCUCCAUAAAAAAAGUCCCAAAAUAUCUUUCCAAACCAUCACCAAUUGUUCUUUUCUAAGAUUUUCUUUUUCCUGGUCUUCUUGAACCAACUCAUUGUCAUCUAAGUAACUUCUGUGUUUUCUUACCCUAGUACCUUUGCUUAUGUAAUUUCCCUUUCUGUUCAUCUAGACAAUAUAACCUUUGGAUACCUAUGUAUCUUUCAGAAUUUAGCUGAAGACCUACUUCUUUCAUCAUAUUUUCCUAGGAUGGUUAAGUCUGGGGUCAACAACCUCAACCUUCUUGACACAUUGCACAUCUAAAAUCUUUACAAUGGCUUUUGUAGUUAGUCAUACUUAACAGUCAGUUUUUAUGUCUUUCAAGGAAGGAAGGAAAAAAGGAAGGGAAGAAGGGAGGGUGGUAGGGAGGAGGGAGGGAGAGAGGGAGGAAGGAAGGAAGGAAGGAAGGAAGGAAGGAAGGAAGGAAGGAAGGAAGGAAGGAAGGAAGGAAGGAAGGAAGGAAGGAAGGAAGGAAAGAGAGAGAGAGAGAGAGAGAGAGAGAGAGAGAGAGAGAGAGAGAGAGAGAAAGAGUAAGGGGAGAGAAGGGAAUAAGGCUUAAAUACCCCCUCUAUUUAGGCUGGGCCAAAAGGCCCAAGCCCUUAGAUAGCUGAGGCAAAGAAAAGAGAUCAGUCCCUAUCACUCACAUGACCAAAAUGGUGAAACAGUCUCAGGGGCCUCCACCUCCAGACUCCUUCAGAGCAAGCCUUCUCAGAGCACAACCUCUCGACCUCCUCCUGUCUUCAGACCCUGCUAUCUUUAAAGAAACCAUCUAAAUUCCCUCCCCUCAGUUCUCACAUCUACCAAUCACUGUCCAUGUCUCCCCUGUGCCAAUGGUGGCUCUAGCUUAACCCAGGACAGCCCAGAGGUCUGCCCCCCUUUGCACAUGUCUGUUGAAGGUCAUAUUCUCAAAUAAUUAAAUUCUGAUCUAUGCUGCAGCCCUUCCUAAAUCCUGUUAGGCUGAGUAGGGUGGAGAUUGUAAGUUCCAAGACCUGGUUCUGUCAUUCCAAGUAUCUCUAUUGUAUCAAUUCUAAAAUCAAUCAUGACUCAAAGAACUUCCUGUUCUAUGCUUAAGCAUAGGGCAAAGCCCUUUCCAUUGUUCAGCAAAAGGUUUCUGUCCUAAAGCAGUCCCAAGUAGGGAGGAGAAGGAACCUCCCAUGCCAAGGGGAUUCACAUUCCAAUAGAGUUCCCACUAUCAGUAGGAAAUUCUUUCCAAGCAUGAAACCUUCCAAUGGUGAAAUUUCCAACAUUCAUAAGUCUAAGAAAUUUUAAGGUUUACAUAGACAUGUAGAGAAAAAUAAAUAGGGACAAAAAGGAAUAUACCUUCUUUUC
Molecule: long non-coding RNA, 1561 nt
Filed under: Monodelphis domestica (gray short-tailed opossum)
Lineage: Eukaryota; Metazoa; Chordata; Mammalia; Didelphimorphia; Didelphidae
Description: lncRNA (ENSMODG00000039503.1)
Source: RNAcentral